This 301-nucleotide ribosomal RNA is filed under the name uncultured bacterium. RNAcentral describes it as "partial 16S ribosomal RNA". It matches the Rfam family "Bacterial small subunit ribosomal RNA", at positions 509 to 807 of the family's 1533-position model. The record is from RNAcentral.
CAGCAGCCGCGGGAAUACGGAGGGGGCUAGCGUUGUUCGGAAUUACUGGGCGUAAAGCGCACGUAGGCGGCUUUGUAAGUCAGAGGUGAAAGCCCGGGGCUCAACCCCGGAAUUGCCUUUGAGACUGCAUCGCUUGAAUCCAGGAGAGGUGAGUGGAAUUCCGAGUGUAGAGGUGAAAUUCGUAGAUAUUCGGAAGAACACCAGUGGCGAAGGCGGCUCACUGGACUGGUAUUGACGCUGAGGUGCGAAAGCGUGGGGAACAAACAGGAUUAGAUACCCCCGUAGUCCCUGUCUCUUAUAC